CUUGUGAGAGGCUGAGGUCUCAUUCCAUGAAAUUACACAAGGAAUGAAAAAAAAGCUCACUUCACAAAACAGAGAUGGUGAGCCUCGUGACAGAAAUGAAGUGAGUGUAUGUUAUGCAAUAGAAGAAAUGGCCUUCUGCAGGCUGUCAGUGACAGAUACCAGCUCACUCACAUCGAUAAAGCUCAAUUAGCUGCUGGAGAAAAUGUCUUUUAAAAAUGUAAUGAGCUGCACCUUGAAAGAAUAGUAGACAAAUGUGAAAAACUAAAUAAAACCUUAAUGUGGACAAGUAAG
Non-coding RNA from Meleagris gallopavo (turkey), 291 nucleotides. NCBI's taxonomy places the organism in Eukaryota, Metazoa, Chordata, Aves, Galliformes, Phasianidae. The record is from RefSeq and is a predicted model, not a curated record.